This 439-nucleotide ribosomal RNA is filed under the name uncultured bacterium. RNAcentral describes it as "partial 16S ribosomal RNA". It matches the Rfam family "Bacterial small subunit ribosomal RNA", at positions 339 to 795 of the family's 1533-position model. The record is from RNAcentral.
CUACGGGCGGCUGCAGUGGGGAAUAUUGCACAAUGGAGGAAACUCUGAUGCAGCAACGCCGCGUGGAGGAUGACACUUUUCGAAGCGUAAACUCCUUUUAUAUAGGAAGAAGAUGACGGUACUAUAUGAAUAAGCGCCGGCUAACUCCGUGCCAGCAGCCGCGGUAAUACGGAGGGCGGAAGCGUUACUCGGAAUCACUGGGCGUAAAGAGCGUGUAGGCGGAUUAAAAAGUCAGAAGUGAAAUCCUAUAGCUUAACUAUAGAACUGCUUCUGAAACUCUUAAUCUAGAAUAUGGGAGAGGUAGAUGGAAUUUCUGGUGUAGGGGUAAAAUCCGUAGAGAUCAGAAGGAAUACCGAUUGCGAAGGCGAUCUACUAGAACAUUAUUGACGCUGAGACGCGAAAGCGUGGGGAGCAAACAGGAUUAGAUACCCGAGUAGUC